CGCGGAGGGUGCGAGCGUUAAUCGGAAUUACUGGGCGUAAAGCGCACGCAGGCGGUUUGUUAAGCUAGAUGUGAAAACCCCGGGCUCAACCUGGGAUGGUCAUUUAGAACUGGCAGACUAGAGUCUUGGAGAGGGGAGUGGAAUUCCAGGUGUAGCGGUGAAAUGCGUAGAUAUCUGGAGGAACAUCAGUGGCGAAGGCGACUCCCUGGCCAAAGACUGACGCUCAUGUGCGAAAGUGUGGGUAGCGAACAGG
RNAcentral lists this ribosomal RNA (253 nucleotides) under uncultured bacterium. RNAcentral describes it as "partial 16S ribosomal RNA". It matches the Rfam family "Bacterial small subunit ribosomal RNA", at positions 524 to 776 of the family's 1533-position model. The record is from RNAcentral.